RNAcentral lists this ribosomal RNA (253 nucleotides) under uncultured bacterium. Its description in RNAcentral is "partial 16S ribosomal RNA". It matches the Rfam family "Bacterial small subunit ribosomal RNA", at positions 524 to 776 of the family's 1533-position model. The record is from RNAcentral.
UACGGGGGGAGCAAACGUUGUUCGGAAUCACUGGGCGUAAAGGGCGCGUAGGCGGCCAUGUAAGUGAGGUGUUAAAUCCCCCGGCUCAACCGGGGACCUGCACCUCAUACUGCACGGCUUGAGUACAUCAGAGGAGACUGGAAUUCCCGGUGUAGCGGUGAAAUGCGUAGAUAUCAGGAGGAACACCUAUGGCGAAGGCAGCUCGCUGGGACGGUACUGACGCUGAGGCGCGAAAGCGUGGGGAGCGAACAGG